This 209-nucleotide ribosomal RNA is filed under the name uncultured bacterium. Its description in RNAcentral is "partial 16S ribosomal RNA". It matches the Rfam family "Bacterial small subunit ribosomal RNA", at positions 568 to 774 of the family's 1533-position model. The record is from RNAcentral.
UGCGUAGGCGGCCCGGCAAGUUUGAUGUGAAACCCAUAGGCUUAACCUGUGGCAUGCAUCAAAAACUACCGAGCUAGAGUGCAGGAGAGGAAAGCGGAAUUCCUAGUGUAGCGGUGAAAUGCGUAGAUAUUAGGAAGAACACCAGUGGCGAAGGCGGCUUUCUUGGACUGCAACUGACGCUGAAGCACGAAAGCGUGGGGGAGCAAACA